UACCCGCACCAAGAAUUGAACUUGGGAUUUCACCUUAUCAGAGUGAUGUAAUAAACCAUUUUACUAUACGGGC
Molecule: transfer RNA, 73 nt
Filed under: Terrestrivirus sp.
Lineage: Varidnaviria; Bamfordvirae; Nucleocytoviricota; Megaviricetes; Imitervirales; Mimiviridae
Description: tRNA-Ile
Source: RNAcentral